GUGGGCUUGGGUGGCGGACGCACCGCGACCGUCCCCGCCGGCCGGGUGGCGCGGGUCACCGCCCCGGCCCGGCUGUAACCCGGGUCCCCGUCC
This 93-nucleotide transfer RNA is filed under the name freshwater metagenome. Its description in RNAcentral is "tRNA-Gly". The record is from RNAcentral.